This 529-nucleotide long non-coding RNA is filed under the name Anser cygnoides (Swan goose). RNAcentral describes it as "lncRNA (ENSACDG00005008223.1)". The record is from RNAcentral. Lineage: Eukaryota; Metazoa; Chordata; Aves; Anseriformes; Anatidae.
AGCACCCGGGGGGCGCGGGGACUGGUCCGUACUGGUCUGUACUGGGAGGACCCGUUUGUGCAAUGAGAUCCCAGCCGGGGCGCCCUACUGGUCCGUACUGGUCCAUACUGGGAGGACACAAGGCCACGUGGAUGAAGAGAUCCCAGGUGAGAUGCUGGACUGGUCCGGACUGGUCCAUACUGGGAGGACGCAAGGCCACGCGGGUGAAGAAAUCCUGGGCACGAUGCUGGACUGGUCCAUACUGGUCCGUACUGGGAGGACGCAAGGCCACGCGGGUGAAGAGUCCCCAGUUGGGUGCUGUACUGGUCCAUACUGGUCUGACUCCAGGCGCUGCGUGCGCAGGGCUCCCAGUUGCAUCCGAGCCCGUUUCCCAGUCCAAACUGGUCCGGCCCGGGGCGAUGAAGGCGCAGGAGUUCCCAGCUGGGCUGCUGUAGUGCUUCGUACUGGUUUAUACUGGGGUGUCCGCAGGGGAGGCACUGGGUCGUACUGGGCUAUACUGGGCCAUAUUGGGCUGUACUGGGCCAUACUG